This 502-nucleotide ribosomal RNA is filed under the name bacterium 1d100109. RNAcentral describes it as "bacterial SSU rRNA". It matches the Rfam family "Bacterial small subunit ribosomal RNA", at positions 325 to 845 of the family's 1533-position model. RNAcentral also lists the same sequence under 2 other names. The record is from RNAcentral.
CACGGCCCAGACUCCUACGGGAGGCAGCAGUGGGGAAUAUUGCGCAAUGGGCGGAAGCCUGACGCAGCGACGCCGCGUGGGGGAUGACGGCCUUCGGGUUGUAAACCUCUUUCGCCAGGGACGAAGAGUGAUUGACGGUACCUGGAGAAGAAGCACCGGCCAACUACGUGCCAGCAGCCGCGGUAACACGUAGGGUGCGAGCGUUGUCCGGAAUUAUUGGGCGUAAAGAGCUCGUAGGCGGUGUGUCGCGUCGGCCGUGAAAACUUGGGGCUUAACUCUGAGCGUGCGGUCGAUACGGGCAUCACUUGAGUUCGGCAGGGGAGACUGGAAUUCCUGGUGUAGCGGUGAAAUGCGCAGAUAUCAGGAGGAACACCGGUGGCGAAGGCGGGUCUCUGGGCCGAUACUGACGCUGAGGAGCGAAAGCGUGGGGAGCGAACAGGAUUAGAUACCCUGGUAGUCCACGCCGUAAACGUUGGGCGCUAGGUGUGGGGACCAUUCCACG